ACGUACACUCCUACGGGAGGCAGCAGUGGGGAAUAUUGCACAAUGGGCGCAAGCCUGAUGCAGCCAUGCCGCGUGUAUGAAGAAGGCCUUCGGGUUGUAAAGUACUUUCAGCGGGGAGGAAGGCAAUACGGUUAAUAACCGUGUUGAUUGACGUUACCCGCAGAAGAAGCACCGGCUAACUCCGUGCCAGCAGCCGCGGUAAUACGGAGGGUGCAAGCGUUAAUCGGAAUUACUGGGCGUAAAGCGCACGCAGGCGGUCUGUCAAGUCGGAUGUGAAAUCCCCGGGCUCAACCUGGGAACUGCAUUCGAAACUGGCAGGCUUGAGUCUUGAAGAGGGGGGUAGAAUUCCAGGUGUAGCGGUGAAAUGCGUAGAGAUCUGGAGGAAUACCGGUGGCGAAGGCGGCCCCCUGGACAAAGACUGACGCUCAGGUGCGAAAGCGUGGGGAGCAAACAGGAUUAGAAACCCGUGUAGUCCCAUGAU
RNAcentral lists this ribosomal RNA (481 nucleotides) under uncultured organism. RNAcentral's name for it is "partial 16S ribosomal RNA". It matches the Rfam family "Bacterial small subunit ribosomal RNA", at positions 329 to 801 of the family's 1533-position model. The record is from RNAcentral.